AGAAUGCGCAGCAGGGAUCCA
This 21-nucleotide unclassified non-coding RNA is filed under the name Mus musculus (house mouse). Its description in RNAcentral is "oocyte_clustered_small_RNA9314". The record is from RNAcentral. Lineage: Eukaryota; Metazoa; Chordata; Mammalia; Rodentia; Muridae.